UCAGCUCGUGUCGUGAGAUGUUCGGUUAAGUCCGCUAACGAGCGCAACCCUCGCUGUGUGUUACAAGUGUCACACGGUACUGCCGAUAUUAAGUCGGAGGAAGGUGGGGAUGACGUCAAGUCAGCAUGACCUUUAUAUCCAGGGCUACACACACGCUACAAUGGCCAGUACAAUGGGUUGCCAAGCCGCGAGGCGGAGCCAAUCCUAAAAAGCUGGCCUCAGUUCAGAUUGCAGUCUGCAACUCGACUGCAUGAAGUUGGAGUUGCUAGUAACCGCAGGUCAGCAAUACUGCGGUGAAUACGUUCCCGGGGAUU
RNAcentral lists this ribosomal RNA (314 nucleotides) under uncultured Anaerolineaceae bacterium. RNAcentral's name for it is "bacterial SSU rRNA". It matches the Rfam family "Bacterial small subunit ribosomal RNA", at positions 1055 to 1378 of the family's 1533-position model. Lineage: Bacteria; Bacillati; Chloroflexota; Anaerolineae; Anaerolineales; Anaerolineaceae. The record is from RNAcentral.